Molecule: transfer RNA, 73 nt
Filed under: Felis catus (domestic cat)
Lineage: Eukaryota; Metazoa; Chordata; Mammalia; Carnivora; Felidae
Also listed under: 2 other names
Rfam family: tRNA
About the family: Transfer RNA (tRNA) molecules are approximately 80 nucleotides in length. Their secondary structure includes four short double-helical elements and three loops (D, anti-codon, and T loops).
Source: Rfam by way of RNAcentral
ACCUAGCUGGCUCAGUCAGUAGAGCAUGUGGCUCUGGAUCUCUAGGUCAUGAGUUUGAGCCCCAUGUUGGGCA